GUACUCAGUUCGGAUUGAAGGCUGAAAUUCGCCUCCAUGAAGCUGGAAUUGCUAGUAAUGGCAGGUCAGCAUACUGCCGUGAAUACGUUCCCGGGCCUUGUACACACCGCCCGUCACACCAUGAGAGUUGGAAAUACCUGAAGCCUGUGAGCUAACUUUUAGAGGCAGCAGUCGAAGGUAGAGCCAAUGAUUGGGGUGAAGUCGUAACAAGGUACC
Molecule: ribosomal RNA, 216 nt
Filed under: uncultured bacterium
Lineage: Bacteria
Description: partial 16S ribosomal RNA
Rfam family: Bacterial small subunit ribosomal RNA
Source: RNAcentral